RNAcentral lists this transfer RNA (77 nucleotides) under archaeon. RNAcentral's name for it is "tRNA-Pro". It matches the Rfam family "tRNA". From Rfam's summary of the family: Transfer RNA (tRNA) molecules are approximately 80 nucleotides in length. Their secondary structure includes four short double-helical elements and three loops (D, anti-codon, and T loops). The record is from RNAcentral.
GGGGCCGUGGUCUAGCCUGGUAUGAUUCGCGGCUUGGGCCCGCGAGGUCGUGGGUUCAAAUCCCACCGGCCCCACCA